RNAcentral lists this ribosomal RNA (252 nucleotides) under uncultured bacterium. Its description in RNAcentral is "partial 16S ribosomal RNA". It matches the Rfam family "Bacterial small subunit ribosomal RNA", at positions 524 to 776 of the family's 1533-position model. The record is from RNAcentral.
UACGGAGGGUGCAAGCGUUAUCCGGAUUUACUGGGUUUAAAGGGUGCGUAGGUGGGUCUGUAAGUCAGUGGUGAAAUCUCCGAGCUUAACUCGGAAACUGCCAUUGAUACUAUAGAUCUUGAAUUAUCUGGAGGUGAGCGGAAUAGUCAUGUAGCGGUGAAAUGCUUAGAUAUGACAUAGAACACCAAUUGCGAAGGCAGCUCACUACGGAUUGAUUGACACUGAGGCACGAAAGCGUGGGGAUCAAACAGG